RNA transcript from Musa acuminata AAA Group (dessert banana), 2212 nucleotides. It is a transcript of the gene named glycerol-3-phosphate acyltransferase ATS11, chloroplastic-like, with no coding region annotated. The record is from RefSeq and is a predicted model, not a curated record. Lineage: Eukaryota; Viridiplantae; Streptophyta; Magnoliopsida; Zingiberales; Musaceae. The transcript has 14 exons.
AUGAACUGAUGAGGAAAAGGAAAUUUCGUCAACGGCCAGGCGCUCCGGUUCGCUCCUCCUUGCAAAUUAGUUUUCGUUUUUUGAAUACUAUUUAAAUCCCUACUCGCGAUCGACGAAUAAAUACACUCGUUAGCCCGACUAUAAAGGGCUCCGUUCGUUCUAAUCUCUCCGUUCUCCCCCCUUCUUCUCUCCUUCACUGAACGCUCCGCGAAGAGAAAGCUAGAGGGAUCGGCUGCGAGCUCGGAGGAGGCUUCGAAGCAAUUUUUCUGACCGUAGAUGAUUUCUUCUGUUGCUUCAUCGAGCUAUUGGACGACGACGGCUGUAGUCACGAUGUUUUCCGCUCUCCCCCGGACUAUUGGAUGUUCCGCGGGAUGUACACUGCCGAGUGCUCGUCGUUCUGCUGGUGAUUCUACUUCGGGGAGCAGCAUUUGGUUGAAUUGUUCGGAUCCGUCAAGACGGGAGCGGGAGAUCCGUGGCCCGAAGGCUAGCGUGGUGGUUCGGCCGGUUGGGAGGGGUUGCGGGAGCGUGACCAGAAGGGCGGUUCUUGCCUGGGAUAUGGGGGCGGAGGAGGAGGUUGGCUAUUCCAGGUGUUUUCUUAGGGCACGGAAUGGAGAAGAGCUGCUUUUUUGUAUAAGGAGGGAAGUUGAAGCUGGAAAACUUUCUUCAGAAAUUGCGACUAGACUGGAAGAACUCUAUUAUAAUUACCGGAAUGCUGUCAUGCAAAGUGGAGAUCCAAGUGCAAAGGAGAUCAUACUUUCCAAUAUGGCUGUUGCAUUUGAUCGUGUUCUUUUGGAUGUUGAGGAUCCUUUUAGCUUUUUGCCUUGUCAUAAGGCAAUACGAGAGCCUUUUGACUACUACAUGUUUGGUCAAAAUUAUCUCCGGCCAUUGAUAGAUUUCAGAACAUCAUAUAUUGGCAACCUCUCCCUUUUCUUUGACAUGGAAGAGAAGCUUAAGCGGGGCCAUAACAUCAUUUUGUUCUCCAACCAUCAGACAGAAGCAGAUCCAGCACUCAUUUCACUGUUGCUUGAAAGAACAAAUUUAUAUUUUGCUGAGAAAAUGGCGUUUGUGGCAGGAGAUAGGGUGGUUACAGAUCCACUUUGCAAGCCCUUCAGCAUGGGAAGAAAUCUUAUUUGUGUAUACUCAAAGAAGCACAUGCAUGAUGUUCCUGAGCUUAUUGAAAUGAAAAGGAGAGCAAAUACUCGAAGCUUAAAGGAAAUGGCUUUGCGUUUGAGGAGUGGAUCACAGGUAAUAUGGAUUGCACCAAGUGGUGGUAGGGACCGACCUGAUCCACUCACAGGGGAAUGGAAUCCAGCACCAUUUGAUGCAUCUUCAAUGGACAAUAUGAGGAGGCUUUUGGACCAUUCUGGUGUAGUUGGGCACAUGUAUCCCCUAGCAUUGCUGUGUUAUGAGGUUAUGCCUCCACCACGAGAGGUAGAAAAGCAAAUUGGUGAGAGAAGAAAAAUUUCUUUUCAUGGAAUUGGGUUAUCCGUGGCUCCAAAAAUCAACUUCGCUGAAAUCACAGCUGGUUGUGAGAACCCUGAUGAGGCUAAGGAGGUCUUUUCUCAGGCUGCAUAUGAUUCCAUGAUUGAACAUUAUAAUGUUCUUGAAACUGCUAUAUAUGGAUGUAAAGGACUAAAUGCAUCAAACUCCAUUGUCUCACUUUCACAGCCAUGGUUAUGAAUCUUUUGGCAGAUCAAUUUUGCCCUCCGAAACUUUUGCACCAAGUAUGCUAAUGGUAUCUCUGCACAGAUUCUGCACCCUUUAAAAGGUGAAGGGCCUUUAAAGGGGGGGGCCGUCGGGCCUUUUUCUGCUGGGACACAAGUAAUAGGGCAUUAACGAAGAAUAUUGAGCAGGAGUCAGGAGCCAUAUAUUUUCUACAAGUAAUGCGGUUUGCAUCAACUGCUGGACCGUGUAUAAAGUAGUUUCCAGGCGCGUUGUCCACAAGCAGCGCCAGCUCUAUUCUUUUUAUCGAGGAUAAAAUCUUGAAGCUGAAAAGCUCAUGGGAUCCAAAGCCCAAUCAAUCCCGCUUUUCGUAUGUAAGAACUUUUAUGCUGAUUCAUUGAUUCUGCCUCUUGCUGGGAUCUUUUUGAACUCUAUUGAGGAUGAGAUCGACAGUUAGUAUGAAGACUAACUGUCGAGACAAGAAACUGUGUCGACACAUCUUUGAAUGUGGUGUUUUUCCUUACAAAUUUACUAUGCAUCGAUGGGUGGU